GAUGUACGCUGGCGGCGUGCCUAAUACAUGCAAGUCGAGCGAACGGACGAGAAGCUUGCUUCUCUGAUGUUAGCGGCGGACGGGUGAGUAACACGUGGAUAACCUACCUAUAAGACUGGGAUAACUUCGGGAAACCGUAGCUAAUACCGGAUAAUAUUUUGAACCGCAUGGUUCAAAAGUGAAAGACGGUCUUGCUGUCACUUAUAGAUGGAUCCGCGCUGCAUUAGCUAGUUGGUAAGGUAACGGCCUACCAAGGCAACGAUGCAUAGCCGACCUGAGAGGGUGAUCGGCCACACUGGAACUGAGACACGGUCCAGACUCCUACGGGAGGCAGCAGUAGGGAAUCUUCCGCAAUGGGCGAAAGCCUGACGGAGCAACGCCGCGUGAGUGAUGAAGGUCUUCGGAUCGUAAACCUCUGUUAUUAGGGAAGAACAUAUGUGUAAGUAACUGUGCACAUCUUGACGGUACCUAAUCAGAAAGCCACGGCUAACUACGUG
RNAcentral lists this ribosomal RNA (497 nucleotides) under uncultured bacterium. RNAcentral describes it as "partial 16S ribosomal RNA". It matches the Rfam family "Bacterial small subunit ribosomal RNA", at positions 28 to 507 of the family's 1533-position model. The record is from RNAcentral.